Molecule: ribosomal RNA, 589 nt
Filed under: Moelleriella libera
Lineage: Eukaryota; Fungi; Ascomycota; Sordariomycetes; Hypocreales; Clavicipitaceae
Description: SSU rRNA
Rfam family: Bacterial small subunit ribosomal RNA
Source: RNAcentral
UCUUCCGGGAUAGGUAGUAGUUAAGGUGAUGGCUUAACUAGCUUAAAAUUCUCGUAGUCGAAGCUGAAAGGUUGAUCGACCACAUUGGGUCUGAAAAAACCCCAAUGCAAGUUAGUACAGCAGUGAGGAAUCUUGGUCAAUGGCCUAACGGCUGAACUGGCAACUUGGAGAAGUGGCAAGUCUUAUUUUUGAUUAUAAUUUUAGAUAAUCUAUAAGAUUGUAUUAAAAUUGAAUAAAGCUUUGUUUAUAUAUUGAUAAUGACAAUAUAUAUAUCGUGUCUUGACUAAUUACGUGCCAGCAGUCGCGGUAAUACGUAAGAGACUAGUGUUAUUCAUCUUAAUUAGGUUUAAAGGGUACCUAGACGGUCAAUAUAGCUUCUAGAAUGUUAGUACUUGACUAGAGUUUGAUGUAAGGGGGCAGUACUUGAGGAGGAGAGAUGAAAUUCUAUUAUACCAAAGGGACUCGGUAAAGGCGAAGGCAGCCCUUUAUGUAAAAACUGACGUUGAAGGACGAAGGCACAGAGCACAAACAGGAUUAGAUACCCAAGUAGUCUUUGCAGUAAAUGAUGAAUGCCAUAGGUUUAGAUUAA